GUGCCUACAAUUAGUCAAAGCCCGUUAAUGGGUAAUGGCGUGCCUUUUGUAGAAUGAACCGGCGAGUUACGUUUGCUUGCGAGGUUAAGAUGAAAAGUCGGAGCCGUAGCGAAAGCGAGUCUGAACAGGGCGAAUGAGUAAGCAGAUGUAGACCCGAAACCAAGUGACCUACCCAUGACCAGGUUGAAGGUGUGGUGAAACACACUGGAGGACCGAACCCAUGUAUGUUGAAAAAUGCUGGGAUGAGUUGUGGGUAGCGGUGAAAUUCCAAACGAACUUGGAGAUAGCUGGUUCUCUCCGAAAUAGCUUUAGGGUUAGCCUCGGAGGAUGGAUCAUGGAGGUAGAGCACUGUUUGAACUAGGGGCCCAUCAAGGGUUACUGAAUUCAGAUAAACUCCGAAUACCAUCGAUCUUACUCCGGGAGUCAGACAGUGAGCGAUAAGGUCCAUUGUCGAAAGGGGAACAGCCCAGAUCACCAGUUAAGGUCCCUAAAUUUAUGCUAAGUGGAAAAGGAUGUGGCGUUGCACAGACAACUAGGAUGUUGGCUCAGAAGCAGCCACCAUUUAAAGAGUGCGUAAUAGCUCACUAGUCGAGUGGCACUGCGCCGAAAAUAUACCGGGGCUAAGCAUAAUACCGAAACUGUGGGUGCACCCGUAAGGGUGCGCGGUAGGAGAGCGUUCUAAGGGCGU
RNAcentral lists this ribosomal RNA (688 nucleotides) under Lacticaseibacillus casei. RNAcentral describes it as "bacterial LSU rRNA". It matches the Rfam family "Bacterial large subunit ribosomal RNA", at positions 560 to 1250 of the family's 2925-position model. The record is from RNAcentral. Lineage: Bacteria; Bacillati; Bacillota; Bacilli; Lactobacillales; Lactobacillaceae.